AGUACUAUGGACACUAUCGCAAGACGCUAUCGCAAUAACCAGGAGCUGGGAUGCUAUCUGGUUUGAAUCUUCCCCCCAAUUUUGAAUGGGAGAUAGAAAACUUGCCUAGUAACGUGAUCACCCCACCUAACAAUCACUAAAUCUCAACAAUAAUCGUAUCAGAUUUAUAUAUGAUAUGUAAUUUAUAUAUGGUAUACGGAGUACGCUGAGUUAUAGACUGUAUUUGUGACGGGUUAGCACCCGUUAGUAGUUAACAUGCGCAACCAACCCCCUUAACGCUCGUUCGCCCCCUCACAUGCUCACACACGCCUACAAAACGCUCCUCUCCCCGCGAUUCCGCUCCACGAUUGUGUAGUCCCUAACGAUUCCUCCACAUAACCCUUAACAUUCUUCCACCCCACACCCCACCAUUGCGAGACCUCUGAUAUUCUUCUGUUCUGAUUCCUUUUCUAUAAGAACCCCCUUCGUACAACCUUUCCUUCUGAUCUCUUUUCUCUUUCUUUCCUUAAUCAAUUCAUAAUCUGUAUUAGAAGAGUGCUUAGUCCGUUAGUACGCCCGUUACAGUAUUAGAAGUUGAUUUUCUUAAUAAAUUACACA
This 597-nucleotide small RNA is filed under the name Histoplasma ohiense. RNAcentral's name for it is "hypothetical lncRNA". The record is from RNAcentral. Lineage: Eukaryota; Fungi; Ascomycota; Eurotiomycetes; Onygenales; Ajellomycetaceae.